AUGGAAAGCAAGUUAGACAUGUUAUUCAAGAAAAACCUAAAUACAGUAGCAAUUAAUCUUGCUCAGACUCAACAAGCAGAUGCUGCAGCUACUUCCGAAGUCCUAAGAAAACACGUAGGCCACCUAUACAGCGGAAUCAAAUGGAGAUAUGAUGAGAUAAGAAGCAGCGGCGGCGCUCAAUUUGUUGAUCGGAGAAGGAGGCUUGAGGAAGAUGAUGAUGAGACAGAGAGUUUGAGACGGUGGUUUCGCGGCGGCCGCAAAACGCAGGAGAGGAAGUUGAGACUGGCGUCGUUUCCCGAGGAAGAUCAAAGGCCACAAACUUAA
Vicia faba (fava bean) is the source of this 324-nucleotide non-coding RNA. Lineage: Eukaryota; Viridiplantae; Streptophyta; Magnoliopsida; Fabales; Fabaceae. The record is from the annotation of a GenBank genome assembly.